UUCAUGACAACAGAACCCACAACAACCAUGACUUGUAUCACCAUCUUCAUCUGGAUUGUUGCCCUCUGUCUCCAAGAGUCCAGAGGCCAGGUCACUGUGACUCAGACCCCUGCAGGGAAAGCUGUUUCAGUCGGUCACUCAGUCAGUCUCAGCUGUAAGACCAGCAGUGCUGUAUACAGUGACAGCAAUGGACACUAUCUGCACUGGUAUCAACAGAAACCUGGAGGAGCUCCUAAACUCCUAAUAUACURGUCUAAAACCCUUCAGUCUGGGACGCCAUCUAGAUUCAGUGGUAGUGGAUCUGGGAGUGACUUCACUCUGACCAUCAGUGGAGUCCAGGCUGAAGAUGCAGGAGAUUACUACUGUCAGAGUAGGCACUACCCCAACAGUGUCUUGGUGUUCACACAGUGAUACAGAGCUGUACAAAAACCUCCCUCAGUCAGACUGCACAGUGACUGUACUGCUACAGCUGGGACCUAAUGCAGGUGCUGAGGGGGAAGAGACAGUGACAUGAAACACUGAUCAGUAGAGGAGGUCAACUUUGAAAAUGGUUAGAAAGUAUCA
Molecule: non-coding RNA, 564 nt
Organism: Salvelinus sp. IW2-2015
Lineage: Eukaryota; Metazoa; Chordata; Actinopteri; Salmoniformes; Salmonidae
Source: the annotation of a RefSeq genome assembly